Molecule: long non-coding RNA, 445 nt
Organism: Dermacentor andersoni
Lineage: Eukaryota; Metazoa; Arthropoda; Arachnida; Ixodida; Ixodidae
Source: RefSeq, a predicted model, not a curated record
CUGACAGUAGUCAUGGUUUCGGUUUAGAUUUGGGAGCGAUGUCAUUCUCAACCAUCGCGCUUUUAACGUAUAUCUCGCUCAAAAUCUUACUUUUAGCAGUUUCAAAUUUCUCGAAGAGAUGAGACUGCGAGUCUGCUACUACACAGCUUCGUUUACUUACCGAAAAAACAUGAAAAACAUGAAUCUACGCUUACCUGGUCUGUUUGCCGACCUUCAGAACUGCGAGACUCCAUGCUAAGAAGACGUGGUUGCAGGACGCCAUCACGCAGAUGUCUCACUUCCUGAGAGAGGCAAGGCAUGGCGUAGACCGGAGCCUUCAAGCAUCGCUAUUCGCUGCUUCAACAUUUGCACCUGCAGAAGAACAAAGGAUCACUUGCCAGUCUCGCUGGAGGUUGCUGAGGUGGCCGCACAUCAGCCAACUGUGUUCUAAUGUGCUCAAUGGAGA